This 69-nucleotide transfer RNA is filed under the name Marmota monax (woodchuck). Its description in RNAcentral is "tRNA.Ala". Lineage: Eukaryota; Metazoa; Chordata; Mammalia; Rodentia; Sciuridae. The record is from RNAcentral.
GGGAAUAUGGCUCAGUGGUAGAGCUCUUGCCUAGCAUGAAUGAGGCGCUGUGUUCAAUCCCUUUUUCUA